GACAGAGGGUGCAAACGUUGUUCGGAAUUACUGGGCGUAAAGCGCGUGUAGGCGGCUAUGUAAGUCGGGCGUGAAAUCCCACGGCUCAACCGUGGAAGUGCACCCGAAACUGCGUAGCUAGAGUCCUGGAGAGGAAGGUGGAAUGCUUGGUGUAGAGGUGAAAUUCGUAGAUAUCAAGCGGAACACCGGUGGCGAAGGCGGCAUCCUGGACCGGCAUUGACGCUGAGGAGCGAAAGCCAGGGGAGCAAACGGG
Molecule: ribosomal RNA, 253 nt
Filed under: uncultured bacterium
Lineage: Bacteria
Description: partial 16S ribosomal RNA
Rfam family: Bacterial small subunit ribosomal RNA
Source: RNAcentral